This is a long non-coding RNA of Esox lucius (northern pike), 2288 nucleotides long. The record is from Ensembl. Lineage: Eukaryota; Metazoa; Chordata; Actinopteri; Esociformes; Esocidae.
GCUAUACUUAUUUUCAUUAUAAAAGCUACUCAAAUUCUACUUCCUGUAUGGUAUGGGGAGUCAGAGUCUAUUCAAAUAUAAGAAAUCUUCAACCCAAUUCAGAAUUGACCCCAACCAGACAAUUUGCUAUGUUUUGUAAUGCUCACAUUUAACAGUGCCUUCAUACAUAAGUUAUCCUUUCUGAAGCAUUUCACACCACAGUUCAAAUGCAAGAGGCAAUUAAAAACUCAUUCUUACUUGCUAAUUUGAAAAUAUGGCAGUCUCUAUCUCUCCCAUGAACGCACGCGCACACACACACACACACACACACAAUGGUGCACGCACAAACACUUGAAUGUGUGUUUACCAUGUGUUUACCCCAGUAUGCCUGGGUCUGUCAAAGCGUGUGUAAUGCGGUUGGGGGGCAGAGCAUGUCACACAUCCCUGCAUACUUUUUUAGGCUCCCAAAAAAGAUUUGUACUUGUGUCACCCCCUGAUGCCUGGUUAUUUUGAGGGCAGACAUCAGCUGCAGGGAGGGUUGGCAACUCUUCCCUGAAUUCUCUUCUUCCCAUUUCUUACCCUCCUCCAUUUCUUUACCUGUUUAUCUCCUUUCUCUCUCUGUGUUUGACCAUUUUGAUUUCCUCUUUUCCUUCUCUCUACCUGGCCUUUAUUUCCCCCUCUCCAUAUUAGCUAUGGUAGUCUUCUUUUGCUGCCUCACUCCCUUAGUGAGUUUUUGUCAUGUUCUUAAUACCUGGUCUGAGAUAUCUAACCUAACACUCUGACCACCAACACUCCUAAUACUCUGACCACCAACACUCCUAAUACUCUGACCACCAACACUCCUAACACUCUGACUAACAACACUCCUAACACUCUGACCACCAACACUCCUAAUACUCUGACCACCAACACUCCUAAUACUCUGACUGCAACACUCCUCACACUCUGACCACCAACACUCCUAAUACUCUGACUAACAACACUCCUCACACUCUGACCACCAACACUCCUAAUACUCUGACUAACAACACUCCUAACACUCUGACUGCAACACUCCUAACACUCUGACUAACAACACUCCUAACACUCUGACUAACAACACUCCUAACACUCUGACCACCAACACUCCUCACACUCUGACCACCAACACUCCUAAUACUCUGACUAACAACACUCCUAACACUCUGACCACCAACACUCCUAACACUCUGACCACCAACACUCCUAAUACUCUGACCACCAACACUCCUAAUACUCUGACUAACAACACUCCUAACACUCUGACCACCAACACUCCUAACACUCUGACCACCAACACUCCUAAUACUCUGACUAACAACACUCCUAACACUCUGACCACCAACACUCCUAACACUCUGACCACCAACACUCCUAACACUCUGACCACCAACAGUCCUAAUACUCUGACUAACAACACUCCUAACACUCUGACUGCAACACUCCUCACACUCUGACCACCAACACUCCUCACACUCCUGACACCUCCACUCCUAGCUCUCCAACCACCAGCCCUUCUAACCUGAUAGACUGUGAGAGUCAUGUGUAGCUGUCAGAGAGUAAUGUAUUUCAGCCCUGGAAAUGAUCAUUAUAGACUGCUAUGCCAGAUUAGUGGCAGAGCCCAGCGGUCCACACACAGUUUCUUUCUAUUUAUGAAUCAUGCCCCUGAAUACACUAUCAGUCUCAUCUUGUGACUGACUCACUAGUGGUUGGUGCGUGUGUGUAUCCAGUUUAAAAUGAGAAUGUCAUUUACACGGACACACAUUACCUAGUUUGGAGACAUCACUAGCGUCUACUAAUCCACAACUUUCAGCAAUAGUCAAUACAUUUAAUAUCAAUAGUUUGGUGCACAUCCCUAUGGAGUUUAUCUUUACCUGUUUACAGAUACCCCAACAUUCACCAUGUCAGACCCUUUGUCCCUCCCCUUCCUCCCUUGAUCUGUCACUUUCUGUCUGUUUCUCACUCAGAAUCCAUGAAACUCCUUGACAGUUUCAUCACAUGACAAGGAUAAAUGAAGUAGCAGCAGUGGACUGGUCAAGGCCUGGAAAAAAAAAUAAACAAAAUGAGAAUGUGAACAUCACUGGCUCCAUCCUGUCUUGUUUUACACCUUUCUCUUUUCAUGUGCUCUAAGGUCAUAGGGUGACUGAAUGCAGGCAUUCAUGAUGAAUGUUAAGACAGUAGAACUUCUAGUAGGGGAACAUCUAUAUGUAAAUGGUUGUCAUUAAAAAUAUGGUAACCUUUUUAGUGUUUUAUUCGGAAGCAUCUUAGCAUGCUUUUUAUGUUUUCAUGAC